GUUUCAUUGGUAGUCGAAACAUUUCGACGUUAAGUCGUGCUCCGGACUCUGGGACUCGUUAGUGAUUGGCCCUUCACGAACCGCGAAACACGAGAGAGCUUGUUACUUAGUUCGUGCGUUAAUUGGCCGGAGACUUUGCAAGUGCCAAGCGGCAGAGGAAAAGCAGUCCUCCUGUCUUCGAUUUGGGGUGGGGGAGCAAAGAGAGCGAACAUCUGGGAAAGUUCCGAUUGGCGAAGGCAGAGGGCAGGGCCGAGGAGCUUUUGGCGGGUCUCCGGCGCCGCGCCACGGGUCUGUCUCCGCAGGGCGCUGAUUGGACCUGCGGGUUGCUCACAUCACCGUAGAAGGCGGGGCCCUCUCCAAUAAAUCCUAAAAGCCGGCGCUGAGGCUGCAGUAACUUUAGUUGCAGUUUACGCUUGCUUUUCUGUGAAGAGGUGGAGACCGUGAGUCGAGUCCCGCAGAGCACGUCGUCGCAGUCGCCGCGUCUCGCGCAGGCUGCCUUCGCUGCCGCCCCCGAGGAGACGGACCCUUCCACGCCCUCUCCACCAGAGAGAUGUCUGCUCCAGCACAGCCACCAACACCAGGGGCCCCAGAAGGGGGUGCUCCUGGGGGGGGCCAGCCUACCAACACAACUAGUAACAGGCGAAUGCAACAAACACAGGCAGAAGUGGAGGAGGUGGUAGAUAUCAUACGAGUGAAUGUGGACAAGGUCCUGGAAAGGGAUCAGAGGCUGUCUGAAUUGGAUGACCGCGCAGAUGCCUUACAGGCAGGAGCAUCACAGUUUGAGAGCAGUGCUGCCAAGCUAAAGAGGAAGUACUGGUGGAAAAAUUGUAAGAUGAUGAUCAUGCUGGGAGCCAUUUGUGCCAUCAUCGUGGUAAUUAUUGUAAGUAAGUAUCAUUGAAAUUACUGAGGGUGAACAGGGGGGAAAGCCCCAGAAUCUUCUCCCCUGCCUGCCCAGGGAACUGGAGGUACUCUGGGUGAGCUACGGACUGACUGCCUCUCUCUGUGGGACAGAGAGCCUGGCCUGGUGGGGGUGAAAUAGAGAGACCACCACACAGGACCCAAGUGCCUCUUGGUGCUGGCCAAAUCCUUCCUCUGAGAUUUUGGAGAGAGGCCAAUUUUCUGGUCUUUGGUGCUCCUGGGAAAACACUGGGGAUAGGUCGUCUGUGCCUGACUGACUAGAAUGUCUAAUAACUUGGGUUAAUUUGCCCUCCUGUUUUUCCUGUCUCUUUCUAUCUGUGCCUUCCUGAUUCCUGUCUGCAGUCUAUUUUUUUACUUAAUGUACCACCCCUCCUUCAUUCCCCACACCAUCAGAACUCAUGCCCCUUUCCCAUUGUCAUUUCCCCAGCAGACCUAGGCCAUCUACCUUGUCCUUACCCAAGCUCCUUCAUCUCCUCUUUAGUUGCUUUGUUUGUACCUAGCCCUCCUGCACUGGACACGCUGCUCAUGGGGUGGCUGCAUUCUUACUCCAGGAAGCACGAGUAACCAGGGUUUGGCCUCUCCCCUUCAGAAAACACCCGUGCCCCAGCCCAGGAAGUAGAAUGGAGGUCAGAGCAGAAGCAGGUCAGCCAGAACAAGUUCAGGGGAAGCUGCCUGAGUGGGAGCCGGGACCGCAGGGCCGAGGCAGUCUGGAGUGAGGCUUGGGGAGAGCAUAGGGAAAAGGCAGUUUCCUCCCCUUACCUCCUACUGCAGCUUCUCAAUAGGGUCUGCAGUGUUAACAGAAUGGGAGAAGCUUGACCUCAAUAACGACCAUCCUGGGCCAUCAGAAAUCGCAGUGGUGAUUUUGAUCAAACAGCAGAAUAAUUUUAUUGCAAAAGAUAUUUUGGAGUCUGGAGCAAUGAUAUGCGGGGUCUGAUCAUUAUUUUUAUAAUUAAGUACAGUACUCAAAAACCUAGAAGACCUUGAAUUGUGUCUACUCCCAGGGCAUUCCUGGUACCCAGUGUUUUUCAGAAGAUUUCCCUCUCUCCCCUGCCGCCACCGCUGCUGCUGCUGCUGCUGCUACUGCUUUCAGUCUGGCCCAGGAUCUGCCAGUGCUUCUGGUGCUGCCAUUCUGUUUACCACAGAAUUGGUGGGUUUGAACACUUUUCCUUUUGACUUAAAAACAUUUGGGGUACAAUUUUGCUCACUGUCUGCUCCUCAUUUAGAAUUGGUACCUAGAGGCUGAUAAGGUAUCAGGUCAGCUCUUAAUAGACAAGUCUAAUAGUGCGUGAGAGGGCGCAAAAAUAUCCUUUGCAGUUGAAAUUUGGGCCUGUUGGUUAUUCUUAGUCAUUAUAAAAAUAUUAGAGAAAAAACUGCCUUGGAAACUGAACUAAGUGUAAGGCAAGGUAAGGUAAGAGACCUUAUUCAAAAAUAAUGAAUCUAAAAUAAGCAUUUAUUAAGCACCUUCUCUGUGCCAGGCACUGUACUAAGCACUGGGAGUACAAAGGAAGGGUAAAAACAGUAUUUUCUUGAGGAGUUUUUUUUUCUUAUGGGGAAGAUCAUAAAUGAAUCCAUAUGGAACAGAUCAAUGAUAGUCUCAGAGAGAAGGCAAUGGAGUAGGUGUGGAAGGAGAGGGAGGAAUUGAGAAUAAGGAGGACCUCCUGAUAGUCACCAAGGUUUGGCUGGGAUGAGAUGGCCUUUUUAUAGUAGAUGGUUUUUUUUCUCCUUUCCCUUGAUAGCAAGAAGGUGGAAGUUUGGGAAUGGGAGGUACCUGAUAUCCCAGGAAAGUCCUUUUUCAGCUCUGCCCUGUUGUUAUACCAAAGACAGAGACGUGGUAAUAGUCCCAGUCUGGAACCAGACUAUAAGACUUUUCAGGGAAGUCCAGUGUAGACACUAGACCCGUAUCUUCCUGUUGUGGGUGACAGCUGUGUGGCUGUGCUGACAGAGUCAUCACUUUGCCACCUCCCUACUAUUUAGUACCCCUUCUCUCCAGGUCCAUCUUCUACUUGCCCCUUCAUGCCAAUUUAAACUCUUUCCUUCUGUAGUGCUUGGGUUUAUUGGCCUAGGCAGAGGGAUCAUAACUGUGUCCAGUUUUCUGACAGUAUCCUAGGAAUAUCCUUCUAGCUUUAAGACAGGAUGCCAAAUGAGACUCCUGGGCAGAUACAACAGUGACCUCUUCUCUCACCUUUAUAUAUAGUCAAGCAAAGGGAGUGUAGGGCUUGGGGUUGCAUGUUCACCUUCCAUGCACUACCAUUUUAUUUGCCAAAAACACCCCCUUCCCCAACCCCUACCUACUUCCAUAUUCCCUUGUCCUGCCCUGUGGUGGGACUGAAGAGCUGGAAGGAAGCAAUCAGUGUACCUCUCCCAACCUCUCCCCCAAGAAGGUCUCCACUAUCUCUGGGCGCCUUCCUCUCUUGGGGGGACACCGCUGGAGAAGAACCACCACUGUCCUCGCUGCCUCUAGAGCCAGGAACAAACCAGCCCCUGGGCUCACUAAGCCCCAGCCUCUUCAUCACUUUAAGCGCUUUGUCAAAGGAUUUUGCACUCUGGGUUUUUGUUGUGCCUAAGAGUUCCCUUCCAGUGACCAGAAUAGAUUCUCCAAACCUUGGAGUGGGAGUAAAAAAAGGAAGGGAUGUCUUCCCUCAAUUUUCCCACCCCAUGACCUGAUUCUGUCUCUUUGCUAUCAUCCCCAUGCAUGGGCAAAAAUGCUGUUGUACACCCAGGACUUUCCAGCCAAAUGAAGCAGAUUUCCCCAUGUUCCCCCAUCCCUUCCGGUUUGUCAUGAGCCGCUGUGGGGUUUUUCACUGUGUCUGUUUUCCCCUUUCUGUCUUUCUUUCCCUUCUUCCAAUCUCAUACUUGUGUAAAAUAAUAACAGUUGUAUUCCAAGUAAGGCAUGUAGCACAUUUACUAAUUUCGUGUAUUCUGGGAAAAAAAAAAUUCCUAUCACCAACCUGAUGGCAUCUGGGUGACUUGGCAUAAAUUGGGGGCGGGCUACCACUGGGGCAGAUUUCUCCAUAGGUUAAAGCACUGGUGCUUUUGUGCAGUUUGCUCUUCUGAUUGAGAUUAAAGAUACCCUUGUAUGUUGGCAAUGGAACUGGUCUCCAUUCUUGUGUUCUGCAUGCUUUGAUUUCUCAUUGCGAGCUGUGUAACUGUCCGUCCUGAAGCAGGUAGGUGGAAGCCAUCCUGAAGCCAGCUGAUGGAAGGAGUGACAGAAAACUGGCC
Long non-coding RNA from Sarcophilus harrisii (Tasmanian devil), 4137 nucleotides. Lineage: Eukaryota; Metazoa; Chordata; Mammalia; Dasyuromorphia; Dasyuridae. The record is from Ensembl.